UGCCCACCCCCAACCAUCACCACCAACAGCCAGGUUAAUUGUAGCCUCCAGGCGCAGUCCUCUUCAGCCAGUCCGCCAAAACCAUCGGGAGGAGCUGGCCCAUUGGCGGAGAUCUAGGGAAGGAAAUCCCGUCCGGUCCGGUUCCAAACAAAGAAAGUUGGUCCUCCCAGGACCUGCAGUUAAUCAGUCAAAGCCAGACGGACAGGAGACGGUGGGGAGAGGCCUGCCUGGGAGGAGGCUUGAGGGAGGGAGAGACAGGAGGGGAAGAAAGAGGCCUUAAGAGGGCCUGGGGUAACUGAGAAGGCACCACCCGUCUCUGGAGGGCCUGAAGAGGCUGGUUUGUGCGGAGCCGAAGUCCCCACCUGGCCAGCUGUCCCCUCCCCUCCUCCCCUAGGCAGGGCGAAAGAGUCGGAGGGAGGCUGAGAGUUGGUGGCGAAGUAAUGAUUAACUCUCUUAGCAGCCCGGCCCGAAGCCCGCGGCCUCAUCGGGCUGUGGUCGAGGGAGACAGUGCAGGCUGACCCAGGACGUCCCCGGCGUUACCGCCACCGUCAUCGCCGCCGCGACCAAGGGACCUACAGAGGGUGGGGGCACGCGACAGCGGGGGCAGCCGAAAGGGAGCGGAGUGCAGGGCCAGGGGAGCACACUCCAGAGGUGGGGAGACCACAGGGAGCGAAACAGCCACAGCUGAGAUACAGGAAAGGAAGGGGCCCCGCGGGUGAGCGGUCGCGGCCGGGCCGCGCUGGGGAGAGUUGGAGAGGGGCGGGAGGACCGGGCUGAGUUUCCCGGAGUUGCGAGCAGGCACCAAAUCUACCGCCUCGGAUCCAUCCGCGGCGCACCCGCCCUCUCUUCCUCCUCUCCCAACAGCUGUGUGGAUGUGAGGAGCGGGUGGAGAGCGCGCCAGAGCCGGGAGCUGGCAGUCUCAUAGAACAAGGCACAUUGUAGAAGAUGAUAACUUCUCGCUAAUCCCAAGACAUCUGAGAAAGCAGCACCCAAGAGUAGAAGAUGGAGUCAGCACUCCGAAGGUGGACUCCACCUUUCUCAGCUCUGAAAUGUACCAGCUCUGUGACUUUGGAUAAAUCCCUUGAACUCA
Long non-coding RNA from Sapajus apella (tufted capuchin), 1090 nucleotides. RefSeq lists it as uncharacterized. Lineage: Eukaryota; Metazoa; Chordata; Mammalia; Primates; Cebidae. The record is from RefSeq and is a predicted model, not a curated record. The transcript has 2 exons.